Molecule: transfer RNA, 75 nt
Filed under: Candidatus Altarchaeales archaeon WOR_SM1_SCG
Lineage: Archaea; Nanobdellati; Candidatus Altarchaeota; Candidatus Altarchaeia; Candidatus Altarchaeales
Also listed under: 3 other names
Description: Candidatus Altiarchaeales archaeon WOR_SM1_SCG tRNA
Rfam family: tRNA
About the family: Transfer RNA (tRNA) molecules are approximately 80 nucleotides in length. Their secondary structure includes four short double-helical elements and three loops (D, anti-codon, and T loops).
Source: Rfam by way of RNAcentral
GGGCCCGUGGCUCAGCAUGGUUAGAGCGCUCGACUGAUAAUCGAGAGGUCCUGAGUUCGAAUCUCAGCGGGCCCA